Molecule: ribosomal RNA, 261 nt
Filed under: uncultured archaeon
Lineage: Archaea
Description: partial 16S ribosomal RNA
Rfam family: Archaeal small subunit ribosomal RNA
Source: RNAcentral
CAGCCGUAAACUAUGCGCGUUAGGUGUACUGGUGACCACGAGUCACCGGGUGCCGAAGGGAAACCGUGAAACGUGCCGCCUGGGAAGUACGGUCGCAAGGCUGAAACUUAAAGGAAUUGGCGGGGGAGCACCACAACGGGUGGAAGCCUGCGGUUUAAUUGGACUCAACGCCGGAAAUCUCACCGGAUAGGACAGACAUAUGAUAGUCGGGCUGAAGACUCUACUUGAUGAUCUGAGAGAUGGUGCAUGGCGUCAGUGACU